CGACGCCGCCGCCGUCGCGCGGCUCCUGUGUUGUUGCCCUAUAUCCAGAGCUUUCUUGCUGGCCUAUCCCUACGAGCUUCGCCCCCUGCCUGCCUGCUCGGGAUCCGGGAUCGCGUUUGCCUCUCGGCUCGCUGCGCCGCCGCCGCAGCACCGCCGCCUCGGCCCGUCUGCCUGUGCAGUUGGGAGUGGAGGAUCAUCCAAUGAGGCUGUUGAAAGCGGGUCAGUUGUUCAGGAAAGUCAUUGAGGGCGGGUCAGAAAAGCAAUCUCGACUGCUUGGGCUUGAUGUUGGCAGCAAAUAUGUUGGACUGGCCGUUUCUGAUGACAAAAAUAGGAUUGCAUUGCCCCUAAGUGUAUUGAGCAGGACAAAGACAAACAUUGGCUUGAUGGCAGAUGACUUCGUAACUUUGGUUUCAAAGUACUCCCUUGCAGGCUUUGUUGUGGGUUAUCCAUUCAACUUGCAGGGUCAAGCUAGUCCAGAUGCAUUACAGGUAAGGCUUCUUGUCGGAGAACUCUGUAAAACUGGGAAACUUGAUGAUGUGAGUUACACCUAUUGGGAUGAAAAUUUUACCUCGAAGUGUGUAGAAGCCCUUUUAUAUCCUCUGAAACUAAAUGACCCAGUUGAAAUCAAAACAAUGACAGAUAAAUUUGCUGCAGUUUGCAUACUCCAGGGCUAUCUAGAUAACAUGAACAGAGAAUUGAGAUGUGCAGAUGAUUCUGAGAAACAGCGUGACACCUGAGUUCCAUCUUGUUGGUGCACUGCUGCCAUAUGAAAAAGGCAUAGGUAAUGUCCAUGAGCAAUUCGUCGAGACGUGUACAAAGCUCAUGCUCUCAUAUGGGUCAUAAGUUUAGUAGAUGCUGAGCUGACAGUUCAUCAAUGGGUACGAGCAGCCUCCCUGCCUGCCCGCUGGAGGCAAAUUUGUUGUAGAUGAUGCAAAAGUAUUGAGAAGUUUCUUGCCCGCUGUUUCAACCUCUACUUGCUUAUGAGGCCAUUGGCACCGAAAUGCUUCCUUAUCUCUAUUCUCCAUGAACUAAGCGGUCCAGCUAUGCAUUCUUGGCAGCUGGAGCAACCUCUUCCAAUAUGCUUGCCGAACCGAGAAGAUCCAAUCAGGCUGUCGAGUCAAAUCGAGUUCAGGUUCACACUGGCGUGCUGCAGCCAGAUUCCAUUUCCAUGUCUGCAUGCGUAUGCUUGGACAAAAUUCACCGUGAUGUUAACAACUCAUGUCAUUCGACGGGCAGCUUUUGCUCAUUGUCACAUCCCGGAUACUUGCAAAUCCUCCACAGAUGUUGUGCUUGUCAGGUAUAUAUCCGUGGCCUGCAAUGCUCCGCGCAAUUGUGAAGUCUAUAUCUAGAGCUGAUAGCGUGAGGAAUCGUGUGACCAUGGUCCUUGCUGUCUGGUUGCAAAAGAUCGAAAAUUCUACUCUACAAAGCAAGUUAGGCUGACAGGUAAUCUUGUGGAUGUGAUGAGAUAUGUUCAGUUAUCCAACUUCGUGUACUAUUCUAUAGAGUACAUGAUAGGUGAAGAAAUAGGCACAAGAGCUAAUGCGUAGACUUGGGCUGAUGAGAUUGUUUCAGGCUGGAGGACAAUGCUCUGUGGUUGGCAUGCAAUGCGAGCCUGCAAUGGAUAAAAUCAAACAAUCUGCGGCUGUAAUCUGCAUAGUCUAUUUCCAGUUUUCCACAAGGGAUGGCGUAACUUCAGUCAUCCAUCCAGCAGACUCAGAAGUCAGAAAGCCAAACUAAGGAGAGAAAAAAAAAAUCUGAUGUGGUAGGCACAGAACAGCACAGCAAUUAAGCACGACACAUCAGGAGAGCAAGCAAGCCACUUGUCAACGAGCUCUCACGUAUGCCUGCCUGCUUCCACGCCAAAAGUCCACUGCAGCUCAAAGACCAGGAGAGGAGAAAGCGAUGAGCACAGCACGAAACCGAGGUAGCCGAAUCAUGCAAAGUCAACACAGUUGACAGCCAGCAGUAGCUCUGUGUAAAAGAGAUUUGGCAGCCAAGGGAAGACAGGUCAGGUGCUCACAUCACCAUAACGUGGAAACCGUACUGCCUAAUUAGGGAGAUAGAUGAGCUGAAAGUACACUGGCACGUUGGAGAUAACUUGAAGGUAAAGAAGACGGCUGGUUCACGGUAGCUGAUUCGGUCGAGCAGCCACCGGUUUUGGACCGGAAUGCACGAGCUAGUUCGAGCGGCUUCCUCUCCAUUAUUUCUUUAUUUUGAUUCCCGGUUUGUUUGUUUGUUUGUUUAUCUCGCGGUUUCUUGACCAGAGAUAGGCUGCCGUGUAUGUUUAAAGAUCGAGUCUUCGACAAUUUGGUUGUCUCGAUUUUUUUUGGGGACAUUGUAGACUUUGAAUGAAAGGAAGGAAGAUUAAUUAAU
This is an RNA transcript of Oryza brachyantha (malo sina), 2373 nucleotides long. It is a transcript of the gene named putative pre-16S rRNA nuclease, with no coding region annotated. NCBI's taxonomy places the organism in Eukaryota, Viridiplantae, Streptophyta, Magnoliopsida, Poales, Poaceae. The transcript has 9 exons. The record is from RefSeq and is a predicted model, not a curated record.